AUAGUAAUAGUUAUGAAAAAUUUAUUAUUUUACAUGUAGAGUAAGAAACAGAUAAGUUUUUCUUAAUGAUGCCUAAAAGGGAAAUUGAUUUUCUACCCAACUGUUGAUAGCAGAAACAAUAGAAAGAAGAAGUUUUGCACUAUUUGCACGCCUCCAAAACUACUAUAUUCCCCUGGACUUGACAUACAUUUAGCUGUGAACAAAUUAUCAAAGUUUUGCAUUAUUUGAUAUAUUUUGAUGUUGCAGUUUGACCAGAUCAGGUAUCAUAAAUAUUGCACUAUUCUCCCAUUUGGGCUUUGGUUUAUGUGUUUUGUUUUCUUAUCCAAAUUUUUUUUUUCUACAGACAUAUCUAGGCAAUGUUUCUUCGCCGGUCUGAUAUUUAUGGUUUAAUUUGGGCUCAUAUUAGUAUGUGGGAUUGCGUUAAGAAGGUUUUCGUCAAGCAAAAACUGCACCUUCUACUGUAACUGAUUCUUCUCAGUUCUUAGCAUUUUCCAUCGGGGAAAGGUUUUUGGUCAGUUGUCCAUUGAAGUUAUCUCUGAUUGCCUCAGGUGUUUUCGAGAGGUUUUCUAUAUUUGCCAUAUGAAAGCUAAGUUGCUUCCACCUUAAAUUUCUUCUAAAUUAGUGCCUCCGAUCCUUAGGCGGAAGAUCUCAAUCAGAUUCUCAUGGCUUAUUUUUCUGAAGGUCUAUAAUACUUACGACAGUUCUCCCAAUUUGUUGAUGCUGCCACAAAUACUUCCCUAGAAUCCUGUGUCUUCUAAGACAGGGAGGAUCUAUAUAACUGAAUUUCAACAAUUGAUGAGCAUGCAACUCAAAUGCAUGUGUCUCUCAAUUAGCGAGCGAUGCUAGUGAAUCAUUUAUACAGGCAGAUGAUGCCACCCAAUUCUUGAAUGUCAUUCAUGCUGCAGAGGACGCAGAUGUUUAUCAUGACUCAGUGAAGUAUUUGCUGAUGGUAAGGUAAAAGACUAAGGAGAAUAGACCAAGGUUGACAAUGAACUCAUUUAUGCCUAUGCCUUAUAUGUGGUUACGAAGAUCAUAUGUGCACUAUUGAAAAUGUAUGACUGGGUGAUGUUUCUUUGCCGGAAAACUGGUUGAAGGAUGCUGUGAAGCAAAGGCUGAACCUCCUGCUGUCACAAUUCCUCAUUUAAAGGCCAUGGUUUAUGGUAUAUCUUCCACAUAAAUCGCCCCAUGUACUGAAGCUUAUAAUUUUCAUAAUAUAGUGGAAAUAACAAUGCUUCAUGUAUCUUACAAUUGAGCAGCAAGUUCAGAACUUAUAAUUGGUUAAUGCGGAACUUCUGGUGCACCGAUGAAUAUUAUAUAUGAUACCAUAUGGUUCAAUGAGGAGGUUGCAUUAUCAAUUUGGUUGGAUUGAUACCAAUAUACUAAAUGUAUAAGCAGUUAUGUGAUGUAAUCUAACUUUCGUUAAAUUUUGAAUUAAUGGAUGUGAAGUAAGAGAUUUGUAAUAAAACAAUUUAUUUUUCCCUUUG
Molecule: long non-coding RNA, 1484 nt
Organism: Capsicum annuum
Lineage: Eukaryota; Viridiplantae; Streptophyta; Magnoliopsida; Solanales; Solanaceae
Exons: 6
Source: RefSeq, a predicted model, not a curated record